Molecule: unclassified non-coding RNA, 390 nt
Filed under: soil metagenome
Description: partial contains 5.8S ribosomal RNA, internal transcribed spacer 2, and large subunit ribosomal RNA
Rfam family: 5.8S ribosomal RNA (bases 1-121)
Source: RNAcentral
GAUGAAAACGCAGCGAAAUGCGAUACUUGGUGUGAAUUGCAGAAUCCCGUGAACCAUCGAGUCUUUGAACGCAAGUUGCGCCCGAAGCCAUUAGGCCGAGGGCACGCCUGCCUGGGCGUCACACGUCGUUGCCCCCCCAUCUACUCCUUCGGGAUUGCGGGGGGCGGAUGAUGGCCUCCCGUGCGCCUCGCCGCGCGGUUGGCAUAAAUGCCAAGUCCUCGGCGACGCACGCCACGACAAUCGGUGGUUGCGAAACCUCGGUUGCCCGUCGUGUGCGGUCGUCGCGCAUCGAGGGCUCGAAAAAAUUGCCGGGUUCCGGCUCGGCUUUCAACGCGACCCCAGGUCAGGCGGGGUUACCCGCUGAAUUUAAGCAUAUCAAUAAGCGGAGGA